UGGCUAGUAAGGCAUGCACAUAGGUCCACA
This 30-nucleotide non-coding RNA is filed under the name Mus musculus (house mouse). Lineage: Eukaryota; Metazoa; Chordata; Mammalia; Rodentia; Muridae. The record is from RNAcentral.